Molecule: long non-coding RNA, 417 nt
Organism: Lates calcarifer (barramundi perch)
Lineage: Eukaryota; Metazoa; Chordata; Actinopteri; Centropomidae
Exons: 2
Source: RefSeq, a predicted model, not a curated record
CAGGCGUACAGGUAGUACAGACACUUCAUCUUCUCCUCCGUGUCAAGACUGUGAGGGACCAUGUACUGGGCAAAGAUCUUCUCUACUAAUAACCUGAAGAAAGGGGAUAAAAUUUACAAUUAAUUGAAUGAACACAGAGCGAAAGAACAAGGAUGAGGUUAAUGAGGAUGGUAUCCAGCAGCUCCUGUGUGACUCCGUCUCCCUCCAUGAUGAUAGAACUCAUCAGGUCCAUCAUAUGCAUCUGAACCUUCUGGUUAUGGCUGUUACUGUGGAGAAAGAGGGACAGAGAGACUGAGACAGGGACAUUUUGCACUCAAGCGUUACCUGAUGAAACGAGACAGAACAAAAACAAAAGAAGAAGAAAGAAUCUGUGAUAAAUUAAAAAUAAAGAAUGGUUAUUAAUCAUAACCUCCUCUA